This 78-nucleotide small RNA is filed under the name uncultured Polaribacter sp. RNAcentral describes it as "Flavo-1 RNA". It matches the Rfam family "Flavo-1 RNA". Lineage: Bacteria; Pseudomonadati; Bacteroidota; Flavobacteriia; Flavobacteriales; Flavobacteriaceae. The record is from RNAcentral.
UUUAGCCGUGAUUAAAAUGGCAUCCUUUUUUUGCUGCCAUAAAUGGCAAAAAAAGAUAUAAUGGAAAGCGCGAAAUAG